This 505-nucleotide ribosomal RNA is filed under the name uncultured bacterium. RNAcentral's name for it is "partial 16S ribosomal RNA". It matches the Rfam family "Bacterial small subunit ribosomal RNA", at positions 28 to 507 of the family's 1533-position model. The record is from RNAcentral.
GACGAACGCUGGCGGCGUGCCUAAUACAUGCAAGUAGAACGCACAGUUUAUACCGUAGCUUGCUACACCAUAAACUGUGAGUUGCGAACGGGUGAGUAACGCGUAGGUAACCUGCCUGGUAGCGGGGGAUAACUAUUGGAAACGAUAGCUAAUACCGCAUAAUAUUGAUUAUUGCAUGAUAAUUGAUUGAAAGAUGCUAUUGCAUCACUACCAGAUGGCCCUGCGUUGUAUUAGCUAGUAGGUGAGGUAACGGCUCACCUAGGCGACGAUACAUAGCCGACCUGAGAGGGUGAUCGGCCACACUGGGACUGAGACACGGCCCAGACUCCUACGGGAGGCAGCAGUAGGGAAUCUUCGGCAAUGGACGAAAGUCUGACCGAGCAACGCCGCGUGAGUGAAGAAGGUUUUCGGAUCGUAAAGCUCUGUUGUAAGAGAAGAACGGGUGUGAGAGUGGAAAGUUCACACUGUGACGGUAUCUUACCAGAAAGGGACGGCUAACUACGUG